RNAcentral lists this unclassified non-coding RNA (255 nucleotides) under Hevea brasiliensis (rubber tree). The record is from RNAcentral. Lineage: Eukaryota; Viridiplantae; Streptophyta; Magnoliopsida; Malpighiales; Euphorbiaceae.
GCGCAAAAUGGAUUAGCGAAGGUGGCAUUAGAGCUGGUUCCGAGGAUAUUUGAGGAAGGGCAUAGGCCAGACUGGAUCACGAUUGUCUCAAUUUUGCCUGCAGUUGCAGACAUGAGGUCUUUGAGAAUUGGCAAGGCAAUUCAUGGGUAUGUUAUCAGAGCUGGGUUUGAGUCGCUUGUGAAUGUUUCAACUGCUCUUGUGGACAUGUAUUCAAAAUGUGAAUCAGUGGGAACUGCUAGAGUAAUUUUUGAUGGG